This 1246-nucleotide long non-coding RNA is filed under the name Struthio camelus australis. Its description in RNAcentral is "lncRNA (ENSSCUG00000016136.1)". Lineage: Eukaryota; Metazoa; Chordata; Aves; Struthioniformes; Struthionidae. The record is from RNAcentral.
AUGUUGCUGGAGUGGCUGUCCUUCCCCUACCUCUUCAUACAGAUGAGACAAAAGACCCAUACCACAGGCUUGAGUUUGCCUUUGCAGCUCCGCCUUCCCCCACGUCUUCUCUGCAACCCUUUGGAGCUGGAGCUGCAGCAUGUCGGUGUGGAGCUUAAAGAUUCCCCCAGAAGUUCAGAGGGAAGACUGAAAUUGAAAUUAAACCUAAAUUAUGACUUUAUGGUCUAAAAGGUAAACUUAAGCAACUGAAAAUUAAGUAUAGACUUUAACUGCUCAUUUUCAAUUUGAAAGCCUUCCCCCCCCAUGUCAAUCCUAUCAAGCCUAUGCCACACUUUAGAGAAACAAGAGGAGAGGGAGCUCUUAACAGCUUAGAAUGGAAGUGUCACUGAUGGAAAGGAGCUGGGCUGGGAGCCCGAGUUAAUCUAGCAACAUCAGCCUCACCUUCUCCAGUGUCUUCCUUCAGCAACUAGAGAUUUGACUUCCGCGGAACAACCCCAUUGUGUACCAGCACAACCCAACUCCUCAUCAUGCGUUAUAGUCCCAGCACAGGAGUGGUGCUUGAGUUGCUUGAAAGCUUUGGGAGGCUCCAGAAUGACAAGUCAAAUGUCUCUGCAUAUGAAGUAAGAAGAUACAGCGUGCAGUUAAUCUUUGGGACAGGCUAAGAGUAGUCCAAAUGAGCUAAAUUCAUGUUCUUCAGUUUAGAACCUUAUUUAGCACAAUAAGAAAUUAUAAAAGUAAAAAUCUAUGUUCAUUAUGUGAGCUAGAGGAGAUGAUAUGGAAAGUCAGGAAUGGAAAUGAAAAAACAGAAUAACUUGUUUAUCCUUCUUUUAAAAAGUAAAAUUUCCAGAUUUUAGCUACAAAGAUAAAGUUCACAGUCUUCCAGCCCAGCCGCUGUACUUUUCUGGGAAUUGAGAAACACUAUAUAAAGAACUUGGUGUUAUAAUUAAAUUUCUCUUUCACACAACUUCAGUUUCCAUCUAAAACGACUCCCAGUUCAGCAUUUCAUGUAAAAUCAGAGGAGCCAGGUGCUUCAGAAUUGCUGUGGCUGAACUGGACAGAGAAUAUUAUGUUUUUCUCUUAAAUGUAAUCAGUGAUGCCUCAGAAGCAGUUGACAUCCUUUUAAGUUUUUUAUUUCACUUAAAAUGGUAAAAAUCCCUUCAAUUUUCUUAUCUCUAAUAGUUUCUUAAACUUUUGUCUAUUUAUAAUUCUGAAUAAAAUUCAGAAACAGCUAAUUAGUGUAUAUGGA